UAAAAAUUUUUUUAGAACUUAAUUUUUUAGUUAAAAAGCUAAAAUAAAUUUAAAAGACGAGAAGACCCCAUAGAUCUUUAUAUUUUUUUUUUUUAUUAUUUUUUAGUUUUUUUAUAAAUUAAUAAAUAAAAAUAUUUUGUUGGGGUGACAUUGAAAUUUAAUAAACUUUCAAAAUUUAAUAACAUUAAUUUAUGAAUUUAUGAUCCUUUAUUAUUGAUUAAAAAUUUAAGUUACCUUGGGGAUAACAGCGUAAUUAUUUUGGAGAGUUCAUAUUGAUAAAAUAGAUUGCGACCUCGAUGUUGGAUUAAGAUUAAUUUUGAAUGUAGCAGUUCAAAUUAUA
RNAcentral lists this ribosomal RNA (340 nucleotides) under Campsicnemus bryophilus. Its description in RNAcentral is "partial 16S ribosomal RNA". The record is from RNAcentral. Lineage: Eukaryota; Metazoa; Arthropoda; Insecta; Diptera; Dolichopodidae.